Molecule: long non-coding RNA, 436 nt
Filed under: Solanum pimpinellifolium
Lineage: Eukaryota; Viridiplantae; Streptophyta; Magnoliopsida; Solanales; Solanaceae
Description: long non-coding RNA (SPIM_LNC000042)
Source: RNAcentral
GAGUUCUUAACAAUAUUUAUGUUAUGAAAAAGUACGAAAAAAAUAUUUUUUUCUUAUUUGAUCGGAUUAAAAAGAAACUUUGGGAUUGCUGAAUCAUAGAUAAAAAAAAGAAAAAAUAAACAUAUAAAGCAACAGAGCCAUCAUAGUAUUUUUGAACUACUCUGAAAGGAAGCAUGUCAAUUUGAUUAUUUACCCAUCUGAGUCUGAUAGAUUCUAUUUUUCUCUUUCUUCAAUAGAAAGGAGAGGGGUCAAUUUUCUUGUAGAGCCGUAUGCACAAAAGAUGCCUGUACGGUUGUUCAAUUCUAUCUUUUUUCUAGUCUUUAUCUUUCUUUUCUCUUUGCUUUAUCAUACGAGAUAACAGAAGCUUUUAUUUUGUUAUAUCAUCAGGGUAAUGAUGCAUGAACCUUUUAGUGGUUUUUAUAUGGCACAAGUAGGC